UACGUAGGGUGCAAGCGUUGUCCGGAAUUAUUGGGCGUAAAGAGCUCGUAGGCGGUUUGUUGCGUCGGCUGUGAAAUCCCGAGGCUCAACCUCGGGUCUGCAGUCGAUACGAGCAAACUAGAGUGUUGCAGGGGAGACUGGAAUUCCCGGUGUAGCGGUGAAAUGCGCAGAUAUCGGGAGGAACACCGGUGGCGAAGGCGGUUCUCUGGGCCUGUACUGACGCUGAGGAGCGAAAGCGUGGGGAGCGAACAGG
RNAcentral lists this ribosomal RNA (253 nucleotides) under uncultured bacterium. RNAcentral's name for it is "partial 16S ribosomal RNA". It matches the Rfam family "Bacterial small subunit ribosomal RNA", at positions 524 to 776 of the family's 1533-position model. The record is from RNAcentral.